This is a non-coding RNA of Zootermopsis nevadensis, 3181 nucleotides long. NCBI's taxonomy places the organism in Eukaryota, Metazoa, Arthropoda, Insecta, Blattodea, Termopsidae. The record is from RefSeq and is a predicted model, not a curated record.
CACACCUUAAAUAUACCGAUAACUGUAGUAACAUUUGUAGUGUUGGUAUUUAUUAAUUGACGCAAGCUGAGAAAAACAAAUGUAAUUUUUCUGGAUGUCGUUUCUGAUUCUUCGUACAAUAACUGAUCUUGGUAAUUGAAAGUUGUUGUUUUUCAGAAUGAAUUCUUAAAUAUUAUUUAGACAAACUUCGGUUUCAAACGAUUAAAGCUUGAUGAUGAUUAUGUUGUUUGUUUUUAGUUUACAGUAUGCAAAUUCCAUAGUUCUGUCCUGUUAUGUGAACAGGAAGGGCAGAAAGUUUAAGCUGGUCCUGUUAUAAAGCAAGAAUAAUGGGAACAUGACUUAAAUAUUCAGAGUAGAAAUUUAUGCACAUCACAUGUCAUCUGGUGAAUUUAAUUUUAGCCGCUUUACGGAAGAGCAGCUGACCCCAUGAUUUUAAGUAUAUUCUGAUCCCGUCUACGUGUACUUGCUCUCAGCCAUCUGUCUGUAGUACGUGAGUGGAAAAUUUUAACUUGAAACAACUCUAUGCUAACAAAUUUAGCAAGAAAAUACUUCCAUUGUAUUAGAUUCGUUUUAUAAGUAAUAUAUAUAUAUAUAUAUGUGUGUGUAGAGAGAGAGGAACCAAUUUUAUGAUACAGACCUAAUAUUUUAAUUAAUUUAAAUAAUUCUGCUGACUUCGGUUAGGAUUGAAGAUUUGCAGUUGUAUUACUGAAACUCUCGAAGGAGUUUCAUGUAUGCAUGGCUAUAAACUAUUCCAAUUGUAUUUAGUUAAAUGUACAUUUUAUCGAAAAAUUCUGAAUUAAAUGUGCAGUUCAUUAUAAUGUGCUAAUUUUUUCCACGAUAAACCUUUUUUGAGAAAGUUGGUAAAGCUUGAUUUUGGUUUAUUGUAAACUAGGAGUCAUACUGAAAAAAAACACGAUCAAAUUUGUUAGUCCUGCAACAUUUAGUGUAGAUUCCCCAAACGCCAAAUUUCAUUUAAAUUAACACAUAUUGUUACUGAUACGUUUUUGUUUCUGGCUUGGCCUAUCAAGCAGAGUAACUGUACUGAUAUUAUUUACCGCUCUUGGCAACGGUAGUGGUUAGCACCUGAUGGCAUUACAAAAUAGUGGACUACGUCAGCGUCAGAAGACGUGACGUAACAAUAUAAUUUUAAGCUCGUUACUAACAUUACACAUGGAAUAGAAAUUUUAACUGUCAUGGUUUUAUUCCAUGCUGAACACAAAGUUUUUUGCAAUUUGUAUCAAUAAACUAAAAUAAUUAAGAAACAGUAAUAAUGUACGAAUGGAGUAACAAUUCUUAAAAGCCUUUCAGUUGUUAGAUGGUAGAAACAUUUUCGGCAUAACUGAUGGAUUAUUUUGAGCAGGGAAUAUGGCAAAAGAAUGCUGUUAACAUCGUCUUUAAGCUCAAAAUAUUUUCUGAUGCAGCGAGACUCCUACUAGAUUUUAAUAUUCCACGGUCAUUGGAGCUGUUGACCAAUGGAUCGACAGUAAGACUGUCAUGUGACCAUUGGUCAGAAGACAAUGGGCACGUAAUUUUGGCACAGUGACCGCGUGUAUUGUGUCCCUGAUGUAUAUCGUAUCUCUGUUCAAUUUACCUGUUGUUACGUCUUGCUGCUAUAAGGAUGUGAUAUCGCUCAUCACUGCAGAAUUUGACGAAACAUCGUAAGUGCUUUGUGGACGGUUUGUACCUAGAAGCGCAUUAAAAUUACAAAUUUAUGGAAAGAGAUCCAUGGGACGACCUAGAAGACGGUGGUUCAGCUAGUUAAUUAGAACACGAAGAGAAGGAAGAGCUGAAAAAAAAAGGGAAUAAAGCGAGAUGUCAAUUAUGAAACACGCGGUUAUAUUUUGGCUAACUUUGCUGUUGAGGCGUCUGUCUUGUUCUGCGGCAGAAGAGGAGAAGGCGAGAACCCGAGAAAGAUGGGACACUUACAUCGAUACUUAUGCAGACUUUCACGGCAACUCCCCGAGUCAAAAGUACGGUGCACCGUUUCCUUCUUAUAGUUCUCCUGGUCCUCAUAUUCAUCCUUUCUAUGGCCCUCCUUCGGGUCCGUCAGCACCCACUGGUCCCUCAGGACUAUUGCCAUAUGGACACCCCUUGCCUCACACCUACGGAGCGCCGUAUGCUGCCCCUGACAAUAGUUUCAGAGGAUUGGAUUUCGCGAUUUUAUGUAAGAUCAUUCUAAAAGUGCUCAUCUUUAAGAUGAUCGUGAAGUUUAUAGCAGUAAUUUGUGUCCUGCUUUUCCUGCCCAAACUAGACUCUGGAGGUUCAACUGGAGGGGACAGUAAAGUUCUUCUGUCCAAGGAAGACACGGGAAAUAAUUCAGACGAUCGUCUCAACAGACUAACUCGCUUUGUUAUGGACAGUGUUGAGAAGAAUGCAGCCCUUGAAAACAAUGAAGCUCUGUAGACGAAAUGCAGUGAAGGAUUAGGAAUCUCACUGAAUAGGCCAUGUUGAUGGCCGAAAUAUAGUUCUCAGAUGACUCACCAUACUGCAGCUGGAUUUCAAAUCAAAACAAUAAUAAUAUCGCAGGGAAAUGCCAACAAUCAUCUACUUAAAACGAACUUAUUAAAGCCACACGUGAAAAAAAAACAUCCUUGUUGUGAAAACAACGUGGAGUUGUGCAUAAACCACUUGAGGCAGAUUAGUAAAUUUUUCAUUUAAGUUAUUUAUAUGAAUUAAUUUAUUUUGUUUAUUUAAAUAUGUAAUUUUUUAAAAAAAUAAUUAUCUUAAAAUAUACGCGUAUAUGAAACCUUGUAACUCUUCUUCUGCUAGUGCAUUUGUUCCCAUGAAGGAUAUAACCAUACAUUUGCACUUCUAUUUACGUCUGUGCAGAAUAUCAGUGACAAUGAAAGGGUUCGACAUCUUUACAGCUGGGAAUUUGUUGAUAGUCGACAAGAAAUCGACCACCAACAUGGAGAUUGAGCGUCUGUCUGACAAUUUCUCACCAUAAAAGAAAGAUUGAGUUAUUAUAGUUUUUAAACUGAAUUUCUGAUUCUUUCCGCUUGUCUGAAUAAUAAAAUGUAUUUUCUGUCAAAUAAAUGAGAUCAGACUCAAAUGGGGCUGUUAAUUACAACAUAUCUCGUUUUGAACUCUGUUUUGUACAUGACUUACAUAAAAUAAGUGUGUCAACACAACACAAAUCUGAAAUAUAUGUGUAAUGAUCUAUUAUCACCCUCAGCUACAC